Molecule: long non-coding RNA, 6392 nt
Filed under: Nicotiana tabacum (common tobacco)
Lineage: Eukaryota; Viridiplantae; Streptophyta; Magnoliopsida; Solanales; Solanaceae
Description: long non-coding RNA (NTAB_LNC013735)
Source: RNAcentral
UAAUAGUCAUAAAUUGCGAAAUCCAAAGUUUAUUACAACACUAUAAAAAAAGAGGGCUCCUAUUCUUAUUGUUUCCCACCACCAACUCUGGAACUGAAGAAUAUCCUAUAUAUAGCCGCCAGCCUCAUCGGUAAUCCCUGGCGAGAAAAGAAAAAAAUCAUCAACAAAAAAUGUCAAAAUCAUCAGCUUUAUCAACAAAUCAACAAGAUGGUGGAGACCUCCGGUCACCGCUCAUCCCGCCGGCGGCGGAUGGAUAUUCAAAACCGAAGAAAGUAACGAUGGAUCAAAUGUUGGAAAAAUACUGCGGCGAGUUUGGGUGGUGGCAAUUGAGACAUUUCGUGCUAACGAGCUUGGCUUGGGCGCUGGAAGGGAUUCACACCAUGGUCAUGAUUUUUUCGGAUCGUGAACCCGGGUGGCGGUGUUCGACGAGCCGCGGGUGCGGUUCAACGGCUAAAAGUGUGUGCGACCUUGAGCCAGGGUCUUGGGAAUGGUUCGGUGGAAUUGGAAGUUCUACGGUAUCGGAGUUUGGAUUGAUAUGUGGACAGAAAUACAGAGUUGGUCUUGUCCAAGCCUUAUUUUUCGCUGGCUGCAUGAUCGGUAUGUUCCUUAUUAUCCCUUUUUCUUUUCCUAUUUUUUCUGAAUUAAGAAGAAAUAUAGAAAUUAGUGUCUUCAAUUAUUUUGAAUGGAGGAGGAUAAACAUAAAUGCUUUUCCUUGUGACCUUUUACGCUUAAAACAACAUAACACCAUCUGUCCAUCUUUAGAAACUUUAGCUCACGAGUCAUGAGGUACAUUUGUCAAUAGGUGUAGAAGUCAUUAGCUGAGUAUUUUAUGGAUGGAAUGGUUUAUGUAAAGUUGCGUCCUAAGUAGUAGCAAUAGUAUAUCAUGAGUUUCAACUAAAUUGGGGUCUUCAAUUCCGAGGAGCUGCAAUAUUCUGAAAUUGCAUUGAUAGUUGGUGAAAAAACACGUAUUAAUACCUUAUUCUUAUUCUGCGGGUGGACAGUUAACUUAUAUAUUAAAUACUAGUUUAUAAACAUUUAUAGUGAUAUUUUUUUUAUACAAUUAGAUUAUUUGAUAAGUAGGAGUACAAUAUAUUAAAAAGUUGUUCAUAUAAAUGAAAUUAAAAAUAAUACAAGUAAAUAACACAAGUAUUUGCCACGAUAAGUUAAAUCUAUUUUACAUUAUCCGUAAGUAAAAGUUUAAACGGGGAUGGAAAACAUAUGUCGUUCAACUUGUGGACAAUGUUUCUCGGUAUAUGCUUUUUCAAUGUAUUAUCCGGGCGUAGCCACUUUAUAUAUAAUCUUUAGAGAACUAGUGCGCGUGCAGCUUUCACAGAGAUGACCUUUUUUUUCUCGGCUGAAACAUCCCUAUUCACCACAAGUAUCUCUAUCCUGACAAUUUUGUUGUUUCUUUUAUCAGUUCGUACAAAGUUGACAACACCACAUCCUUCUUCUUUGCUUUUUGUUCUUUUCUUUUUUAAUCAUAAAAAAUAUAAGUAGGAAAAGAUUGCGUCCAAAUUUGGUUGAUCACGAAUUGUUAAUGAUUAACAUCAAGUAUGUCGAGCUUAAUUGAAUGGGACACAAGCGACGAAGAUAGACGACAUAUAGGGGUGUCAAUGGUUCGGUUCGGCCGGUUAUUUUAUAAAAUUUGUACCAUACCAAUUUUUCGGUUAUUCUAUGAUGUAUAACCAAAAUUAGACUUUCAGAAACCGUACCAAUCACGUCGGUUUCUCUUCGGUAUCGGUACGGUUCGGUUAAUUUUCGGUAUUUUUUUAGAUGUCAUUUAAAAGUCACUAGUAGAAGCAGAAUGCAAUAACAUACAUACUUUUAUAGGAUUUAGUAAAACUUUCUAGAAAUUUUUACUAUUUAAAGGGUGAUGAAUCAAGAAAACAUGAAAGAUGGUCAGAGUAUAGACCCAUCAACUAUUCUAUAGCAGCGUAAAAAAUAAUUAAACAAAGACAAAGAAAAUAUAAAUCACACAAGUGAAAAAAUAUUAAGCAAGAUGAGACUCAAGAAUAAAGUCUAUAGAAGAUUAAAUAUUCGAAAAUAUAAAUUUAAUUCUACGAAAGGAAACAUAUUCAAUACAUUAUAGUUUGCUACUCAUAAUCGCUAGAAUAUCUUAUGUCUUGCUAGUGAAUAUGCUGUAAAUAAUUUAGUUUCAGUAGGAGUUGUAUAAUAAGUUUGAAAAUUAGGAUUUUAAGUUUAAUUACUUGCUGGCUUGUAACCGUUUCAUAAUUCCAAGGCUCAAGGAAAAAUUUAUACUUUCUUAUUUUAAAUUUAAUAUAUAAAUAUAUUUUUUCAUGUAAAUUUAUUCGGUAUGGUUCGAUAUUUUUUCGAUGUAUUUUCAUAAAAUAAUAAAUCUAUCAUAAUUAUCGGUACGGUUAUAGAUUUAUAUAAAAACCUACGAUUUUAUUAAAAGAAACCUAAAAAUCAAUUCGGUGCGUUACGAUUCAGUCGAUUUAAUCGAUUUUUAAAUAUCAAUUGACACUCCUAACGUCACCUCAGACCAAAAAGUAGAAUAAUAGAAAGAACGUCAGGGAAUACCGUUGAACCAAACCCGUAUUUCGGGGCAAAUUAAGAAAAUGAAAUCGGGGAUAGAAUUAAGUCUUGAAUAUUUGAUUAAAUUUUAGUCUCUCAUCUUAAUAAGAAGCAAAUUUCUCAACAGAUUUUUUGUCUCACUUCGAUUACUCUUUGGACCUUGAUGUCCAAUUCCCUGCUAAACCUCCUUAUGACUUAGUUCUUAAUUGCUUCAUAACUCUAUAGGAGUCUCUUAUAUGUAUUAGUCUUAUUUGUUUUCCGGGUUUAUGCCACCUUUUAAAUCUUAUCCAAAGAAAAGGAAGAUACUAAUGAGAAUAGAAUAUACUUUUACUCCUGUAUUAGAAAAACCCCAUUCUUACUUUCCACACACCCGCCUAAAUUGAAAGUUGAGAAUAUGCUACCCCGAUUCGGAUAUUCUAGUCUCCCUUGUGUGCUAUUGGAAAUUGGAACAGGCUGCUUUAUUUUCGAUAACUCACCUAAAAUAAAAACAAUAAAAAGAAGGCGAACAAAGGGAAAGGUGUAUAUAGUGUUUAAUAUAUUAGGGGUACUAAGUAGGAUAUGGACCAGAUAGGUUAAUAUUGUCUAGUUUCUCUUGGCCAGGAUCUUGCAAUAAUUGGAAUACGGAGUACGAGCAAAUGUUGUUAUACUGGGACCCAGAGCACCCUUAUCAUAAGGAGGAUCUACUUCUUUUGACAUUUAUAUUAAGCUUAUUUGUCACUUCGUAUGACACGUUGUUUAUUUUUCCAUGCAUAUGACACGUGUUAGAUCAACGUCUCACCACUGAAAGAAUAUUGUAGUAUGAUGCAGCACCGAAUACCAUAUUUCUUCAAAAGUAUUACUCGUGCUACUCCUUAUAAUAGGGUUUUUCAGUUCUUAAGAACAUUACCUAAUUAAGAAGUUUAUGCUACCCAUGUUCGCCAAAAGAAAUUAAUCUUUAUAUGCUAUUUUAUGUCACCUUUUUUAAACAAAAUUACUUUAUUACUCCCUUGUUUCAAUUUAAAUGAUAUAUUUUGAGUCAAUUUAAUUAAAUUUUGAAGUUAAAUUAUAUUAGUUCAACUCAAUAUUUUAAAAUUAAAAUUUAGAUAUGCAAAAACUAUACGAAAAGUACUACAAUAUUAGUUGCAAUUUCUCUCAUGAAGAUAUGAUAAAAAAAUAUUUUUAAAAUAUUGGUCAAACUUCACAAAGUUUAAUUCUCAAUAAGCGAAAUAUUUCAUAUAAAUUGAAAUAGAAGAUUAUAUAUUCAUAUAAUUUAAUAGAAAUAUUAUCGCGUGAUUAUCUCUCAAGUUUGGAAUUAUUUUUGGCAUGUGCUAAAAUACUAAUUUUCUUAUUCAGUCAUACAAAGGAAUCGGAAGGGUUUAAGAUCUCAAGUUUGGAUUUAUUUUUGGCAUAAUCUAAAAUCCUAAUGUUCUUAUUCGGUCAAACAAAUAACGGAAGGGUAACUCCCUUUGAUUUGAAAAAUUAACUUCUCUAUUUAAGAUCUUUCAAUGUGGCACAAUACAGAAUGUAGAUUGGUAAAUACUUUGCUGUGUUUACAGUUACUGCUCAGAGCUCCGAGUUUGAAAAUUUUAAUGGGAAAACGAACAAGAUAUUCUCACUUUGUCGUGGAGAUGGUGGUGGUACUUGAUAUGACAAAAUUUAAGAUGUCAGAAUUUUUGAAUAACACUUUUAAAUUAAUUGUUUUCAGGUGCUGGAGUAUUUGGACAUCUCUCAGACUCCAAAUUAGGAAGGAAAGGCUCCCUCACAAUUGUUUGCAUCUUAAACGCCAUCUUUGGUUGUAUAACAGCAUUCUCUUCGGACUACUGGACCUAUACCUUAUUCCGUUUUCUUUCCGGUUUCAGCACCGGCGGCACUGGCCUUUGUUCUUUUGUUCUUGCCACUGAACCCGUUGGCCAGUCCUGGCGCGGCGUAGCAGGAAUGUCCACGUUCUAUUUUUUCUCUACUGGGAUAGCCGCUCUCUCUGCCAUUGCUUAUUUCUUCCAGUCGUGGCGCUCUCUUUACAUUGCUUCUUCAGUCCCAUCUGUUCUGUUCGUUAUCCUCGUACUUCCUUUCCUCCACGAGUCACCUCGCUGGUGCCUCGUUAGAGGAAAGGUAGAUGAAGCCAUGAAGAUCAUGCAUAAAAUCGCCAUAUCAAAUGGAAAACACCUUCCUGAUGGAGUUCUUCUUGCACUCGACAGUGAAGUGAAUAAUGAUGAUGCUCCUCAUUCUCAAUCCGAAUCAAAGCUGGAACCCGAUACCAAAGAAGCGUUAAACGGAUCCCUUUUAGAUGUACUAAGGUUUCCUCUAACGCGAUUUCGGUUGUUCUUAGCUGUGGCUAUUAACUUCUUCUGUUCCGUUGUCUAUUACGGGUUGAGUUUGAAUGCUGUCAACCUUGGAACCAAUCUCUACCUGAACGUUGCUCUUAACGCAGUGGCUGAAAUGCCUGCCUAUCUUAUAACCGCAUUAGUUUUGGACAGGCUCGGUAGAAAGCCAUUAGCAAUAUGGACAAUGUGGUUCAGUGGAGCUUUUUGCUUGGCAGGAAGCUUGAUGAAAGGUUACGGAGCGUGGAAAAUUGUUCGAAUGGUUUGUGGAGUUUUAGGUAUAUUUGGUAUGGCUGGGAGUUACAAUUUGUUGUUCGUGUAUUCGAUGGAGUUGUUUCCAACUGUGGUGAGAAAUGCAGCAUUAGGAUGUGCAACUCAGGCGUCGCAAAUGGGGGCAAUUUUGGCACCCCUUGUGGUUGUUUUAGGGGGUGGCAUACCAUUUGCAGUGUUUGGAGCAUGUGGAAUAGCUGGAGGGUUACUGGUAAUGUACUUGCCUGAAACCUUAAACAGACCAUUAUAUGACACAAUGGCUGGAAUGGAAGAAGCUGAAGCAGAGAAACCAUGUAUUCUAGCUUAAUUUGCAGGUUUUAGAGAACUUUCUUCUUCUUCAUUUUUUGUUUCAAAUUUUGUUUUUAGUUUGUGAAUGUUUGUACUUUAUUUUGAGAAACCUCUUUUUGGAUUAUACUUAGAGACUUACUAAUAGUAUUAUUCAUCUUACAUUAGGUAUUCGUAAUAAUGCUAGUUCGAAAUUGUGCGGUAUGGCGUUGAAAGUGAUUAUUCUUUGUCCCAAAGAGAAGACGUUCUUCCUCUUAAAAAAGUUAGUACAUCCUUUUUAAUGAAAAACACAAGAAGAUAAAUGAACUUCUCCCAACAUCUAGUUUACUUUUAAAUAUAGACUACCACUUCGUCAAAUUAUUAAACUAACAAGCAUGAUUUUCACUAUGCUAUGCCAUGUUUAACGUAUUUGAGAUGUACUUUGAACAAUUGAUCGCUUUUUUAUUUUCUUAAUAAUGAUGUUACCCAGAUGCAUAUCUAGGUGGUGUUGUAUUAGUAAAAACGAACAGAGGCCUUACCUCAAAUUACAACAUAAAUUGGUGAUACCACCACCCAAAAGACCAGAAAGAAGAACAAAAACUUACAACUCCUUCUGGGACUAAGCAACAACAACGAGUAAAAUCCUACAAAUGGGGUCUGGGGAGGGUAGUGUGUACCUUACCCCUAUAUCUCGAGGGAGUAUAGAGGCUGUUUCCGAUAGAUUGGCUCAAGAAGACGAAAAGAGACAAUAUAUCAGUACCAUCAACAUAAACCACAGAAAUAAUAGCAGCAUCACAAGAAUCAGGAAAUAUAUCAGUACCGUUAAGUAAUGACCUAUUUCACCUAACACACCCACACAUACAGAAGAAAAAUAAAAGCAGCAAAUUGUAAACCUCAUUAGGUGAUUACCUCUUCUUUAGGCCGGCAACAAAGGAUAACUAUAUUAUGAUUGAAUACAUGUUUGGCAGCAUCGAUUUGGAAAGUUUCGAUAGGAGUAGCUAGAGUGAGAUAUAAGACUUCCACAGU